UGUCCCUACGGGGCGCAGCAGUGGGGGAUAUUGCACAAUGGGGGAACCCUGAUGCAGCGACGCCGCGUGGGUGAAGGAGCGUUUCGGCGCGUAAAGCCCUAUCGGCAGGGAAGAAGAUGACGGUACCUGACCAAGAAGCCCCGGCUAACUACGUGCCAGCAGCCGCGGUAAUACGUAGGGGGCAAGCGUUUUCCGGGUUUACUGGGUGUAAAGGGGGCGCAGACGGGAACGCAAGCCAGGAGUGCAAGCCUGGGGCC
This 257-nucleotide ribosomal RNA is filed under the name uncultured bacterium. RNAcentral describes it as "partial 16S ribosomal RNA". It matches the Rfam family "Bacterial small subunit ribosomal RNA", at positions 334 to 609 of the family's 1533-position model. The record is from RNAcentral.